UUUUGCUUAUUCAUAAAACCUUCUCAACUUAUAAAAUAAAUCAUCAAAAUAAUGUAAUCAUGUUUUACGCUCUAAACUAUGAAGUAGAAAGCAACAGUCAGCAGGGGGCCGAUAUGAAAUUCUUUUCUUCAGUUUAUUAGCUGGCUAAAUUUAUAAAUAUAUAAACAAGACAACUCUAAAAUUUAAAAAGUGUAUGCAGCCAUACAACAUACAAUACCUACCCAUCACACCUGAAGAAGAUAAUAAUCAAGUACAAAUGAACCCUAGGUUAUCCUUGUAACUAAAUAACACGCACCCACCACACCUACUCAUUAUCUGCAGGCCCAACUACUUCAUUGCUUGAUUGUUUGAAAUCUGAGCAGGGUUUCCCGCAACUGACGUGGGCCCCAUUGCGUUAGAAAACGGAGGUGUGGGUCCGGGUCCCAUCAUGGGUCUCGAAAGUGGUGGUCUUUGAGGGGUCAUUCCCAUAGGAUUUGGAGGCCUUUGUCCGGGAUGUGCCAUGGGCCUAGAGGAAGCAGCACCCGACAUGCCCAAACGGGCUGCGAUUAUCUGGGCCCGUUCAUGGUAAAGUCCCCGUUUUGACCUUUCUAAUUGUUCGCGGGCCCUUGAUACCACACCAUCCAUCUCAGUAAAGAAAGUCAACUUUGUCUCCAACUUGUGCAGCUGUAGUACAAAUUUAAGCAAGCAACAAUUAAAGGGGCAAAGUUGGUAACGAGUCGAACAAAUUCAAGCGAAAAUGGGUAAUUUUGGUCGGGUUGACCCGAAACACAUUUUGCCCAACUUUUAGAUAUUUGUUCUAUAAAAGAUAUGU
This 811-nucleotide long non-coding RNA is filed under the name Helianthus annuus (common sunflower). RNAcentral's name for it is "sRNA HanXRQr2_Chr16g0733081". Lineage: Eukaryota; Viridiplantae; Streptophyta; Magnoliopsida; Asterales; Asteraceae. The record is from RNAcentral.